RNAcentral lists this ribosomal RNA (253 nucleotides) under uncultured bacterium. RNAcentral describes it as "partial 16S ribosomal RNA". It matches the Rfam family "Bacterial small subunit ribosomal RNA", at positions 524 to 776 of the family's 1533-position model. The record is from RNAcentral.
UACGAAGGGGGCUAGCGUUGCUCGGAAUUACUGGGCGUAAAGGGCGCGUAGGCGGCACUGUUAGUCAGGCGUGAAAGUCCUGGGCUCAACCUGGGAACUGCGCUUGAUACGGCAGAGCUAGAGGAUGGAAGAGGCUCGCGGAAUUCCCAGUGUAGAGGUGAAAUUCGUAGAUAUUCGGAAGAACACCAGUGGCGAAGGCGGCUCACUGGUCCGGUACUGACGCUGAGGUGCGAAAGCGUGGGGAGCAAACAGG